UGGGGAAUUUUCCGCAAUGGGCGAAAGCCUGACGGAGCAAUACCGCGUGAGGGAGGAAUGCCUUUGGGUUGUAAACCUCUUUUCUCAGGGAAGAAGAUCUGACGGUACCUGAGGAAUAAGUAUCGGCUAACUCCGUGCCAGCAGCCGCGGUAAUACGGAGGAUGCAAGCGUUAUCCGGAAUCAUUGGGCGUAAAGCGUCCGCAGGUGGUUUCCAAAGUCUGCUGUUAAAGACUGGAGCUCAACUCCGGAACGGCGGUGGAAACUUGGAAACUAGAGUUCGGUAGGGGUAGCAGGAAUUCCCAGUGUAGCGGUGAAAUGCGUAGAUAUUGGGAAGAACAUCGGUGGCGAAGGCGUGCUACUGGACCGUAACUGACACUCAGGGACGAAAGCUAGGGGAGCGAAAGGGAUUAGAUACCACUGUAGUCCUAGCUGUAAACGAUGGAAACUAGGUGUGGCUUGA
This 460-nucleotide ribosomal RNA is filed under the name uncultured marine microorganism. Its description in RNAcentral is "bacterial SSU rRNA". It matches the Rfam family "Bacterial small subunit ribosomal RNA", at positions 355 to 830 of the family's 1533-position model. The record is from RNAcentral.